AGCAAUGUGGCGUAGUGAUAAGGAGUAGGGCAAGUAACCCUAAGGUUGCUGGUUCAAUUCCCAGGUGGCCACUGCUG
Megalops atlanticus (tarpon) is the source of this 77-nucleotide non-coding RNA. NCBI's taxonomy places the organism in Eukaryota, Metazoa, Chordata, Actinopteri, Elopiformes, Megalopidae. The record is from the annotation of a GenBank genome assembly.